RNAcentral lists this ribosomal RNA (2900 nucleotides) under Klebsiella pneumoniae. RNAcentral describes it as "23S ribosomal RNA". It matches the Rfam family "Bacterial large subunit ribosomal RNA". Lineage: Bacteria; Pseudomonadati; Pseudomonadota; Gammaproteobacteria; Enterobacterales; Enterobacteriaceae. The record is from RNAcentral.
GGUUAAGCGACUAAGCGUACACGGUGGAUGCCCUGGCAGUCAGAGGCGAUGAAGGACGUGCUAAUCUGCGAAAAGCGUCGGUAAGGUGAUAUGAACCGUUAUAACCGGCGAUGUCCGAAUGGGGAAACCCAGUGCAAUUCGUUGCACUAUCGUUAACUGAAUACAUAGGUUAACGAGGCGAACCGGGGGAACUGAAACAUCUAAGUACCCCGAGGAAAAGAAAUCAACCGAGAUUCCCCAGUAGCGGCGAGCGAACGGGGAGCAGCCCAGAGUCUGAAUCAGCUUGUGUGUUAGUGGAACGGUCUGGAAAGUCCGACGGUACAGGGUGAUAGUCCCGUACACCAAAAUGCACAGGCUGUGAACUCGAAGAGUAGGGCGGGACACGUGGUAUCCUGUCUGAAUAUGGGGGGACCAUCCUCCAAGGCUAAAUACUCCUGACUGACCGAUAGUGAACCAGUACCGUGAGGGAAAGGCGAAAAGAACCCCGGCGAGGGGAGUGAAAAAGAACCUGAAACCGUGUACGUACAAGCAGUGGGAGCACCUUCGGGUGUGACUGCGUACCUUUUGUAUAAUGGGUCAGCGACUUAUAUUCUGUAGCAAGGUUAACCGUAUAGGGGAGCCGCAGGGAAACCGAGUCUUAACUGGGCGUUAAGUUGCAGGGUAUAGACCCGAAACCCGGUGAUCUAGCCAUGGGCAGGUUGAAGGUUGGGUAACACUAACUGGAGGACCGAACCGACUAAUGUUGAAAAAUUAGCGGAUGACUUGUGGCUGGGGGUGAAAGGCCAAUCAAACCGGGAGAUAGCUGGUUCUCCCCGAAAGCUAUUUAGGUAGCGCCUCGUGAACUCAUCUUCGGGGGUAGAGCACUGUUUCGGCUAGGGGGUCAUCCCGACUUACCAACCCGAUGCAAACUACGAAUACCGAAGAAUGUUAUCACGGGAGACACACGGCGGGUGCUAACGUCCGUCGUGAAGAGGGAAACAACCCAGACCGCCAGCUAAGGUCCCAAAGUCAUGGUUAAGUGGGAAACGAUGUGGGAAGGCACAGACAGCCAGGAUGUUGGCUUAGAAGCAGCCAUCAUUUAAAGAAAGCGUAAUAGCUCACUGGUCGAGUCGGCCUGCGCGGAAGAUGUAACGGGGCUAAACCAUGCACCGAAGCUGCGGCAGCGACACUAUGUGUUGUUGGGUAGGGGAGCGUUCUGUAAGCCUGCGAAGGUGUGCUGUGAGGCAUGCUGGAGGUAUCAGAAGUGCGAAUGCUGACAUAAGUAACGAUAAAGCGGGUGAAAAGCCCGCUCGCCGGAAGACCAAGGGUUCCUGUCCAACGUUAAUCGGGGCAGGGUGAGUCGACCCCUAAGGCGAGGCCGAAAGGCGUAGUCGAUGGGAAACAGGUUAAUAUUCCUGUACUUGGUGUUACUGCGAAGGGGGACGGAGAAGGCUAUGUUAGCCGGGCGACGGUUGUCCCGGUUUAAGCAUGUAGGCUGAUUGUCCAGGCAAAUCCGGAUAAUCAAGGCUGAGGUGUGAUGACGAGGCACUACGGUGCUGAAGUAACAAAUGCCCUGCUUCCAGGAAAAGCCUCUAAGCAUCAGGUAACAUUAAAUCGUACCCCAAACCGACACAGGUGGUCAGGUAGAGAAUACCAAGGCGCUUGAGAGAACUCGGGUGAAGGAACUAGGCAAAAUGGUGCCGUAACUUCGGGAGAAGGCACGCUGGUGUGUAGGUGAAGUCCCUGCGGAUGGAGCUGAGACCAGUCGAAGAUACCAGCUGGCUGCAACUGUUUAUUAAAAACACAGCACUGUGCAAACACGAAAGUGGACGUAUACGGUGUGACGCCUGCCCGGUGCCGGAAGGUUAAUUGAUGGGGUUAUCCGUAAGGAGAAGCUCUUGAUCGAAGCCCCGGUAAACGGCGGCCGUAACUAUAACGGUCCUAAGGUAGCGAAAUUCCUUGUCGGGUAAGUUCCGACCUGCACGAAUGGCGUAAUGAUGGCCAGGCUGUCUCCACCCGAGACUCAGUGAAAUUGAACUCGCUGUGAAGAUGCAGUGUACCCGCGGCAAGACGGAAAGACCCCGUGAACCUUUACUAUAGCUUGACACUGAACAUUGAGCCUUGAUGUGUAGGAUAGGUGGGAGGCUUUGAAGCGUGGACGCCAGUCUGCGUGGAGCCAACCUUGAAAUACCACCCUUUAAUGUUUGAUGUUCUAACGUUGGCCCCUGACCGGGGUUGCGGACAGUGUCUGGUGGGUAGUUUGACUGGGGCGGUCUCCUCCCAAAGCGUAACGGAGGAGCACGAAGGUUAGCUAAUCCUGGUCGGACAUCAGGAGGUUAGUGCAAUGGCAUAAGCUAGCUUGACUGCGAGCGUGACGGCGCGAGCAGGUGCGAAAGCAGGUCAUAGUGAUCCGGUGGUUCUGAAUGGAAGGGCCAUCGCUCAACGGAUAAAAGGUACUCCGGGGAUAACAGGCUGAUACCGCCCAAGAGUUCAUAUCGACGGCGGUGUUUGGCACCUCGAUGUCGGCUCAUCACAUCCUGGGGCUGAAGUAGGUCCCAAGGGUAUGGCUGUUCGCCAUUUAAAGUGGUACGCGAGCUGGGUUUAGAACGUCGUGAGACAGUUCGGUCCCUAUCUGCCGUGGGCGCUGGAGAAUUGAGGGGGGCUGCUCCUAGUACGAGAGGACCGGAGUGGACGCAUCACUGGUGUUCGGGUUGUCAUGCCAAUGGCACUGCCCGGUAGCUAAAUGCGGAAGAGAUAAGUGCUGAAAGCAUCUAAGCACGAAACUUGCCCCGAGAUGAGUUCUCCCUGAGACUUUAAGUCUCCUGAAGGAACGUUAAAGACGAUGACGUUGAUAGGCCGGGUGUGUAAGCGCAGCGAUGCGUUGAGCUAACCGGUACUAAUGAACCGUGAGGCUUAACCUU